This 460-nucleotide ribosomal RNA is filed under the name uncultured bacterium. RNAcentral's name for it is "partial 16S ribosomal RNA". It matches the Rfam family "Bacterial small subunit ribosomal RNA", at positions 338 to 795 of the family's 1533-position model. The record is from RNAcentral.
CCUACGGGAGGCAGCAGUGAGGAAUAUUGGUCAAUUGACGAGAGUCUGAACCAGCCAAGUAGCGUGAAGGAUGACUGCCCUAUGGGUUGUAAACUUCUUUUAUAUGGGAAUAAAAUGUUCCACGUGUGGGAUUUUGUAUGUACCAUAUGAAUAAGGAUCGGCUAACUCCGUGCCAGCAGCCGCGGUAAUACGGAGGAUCUGAGCGUUAUCCGGAUUUAUUGGGUUUAAAGGGAGCGUAGGUGGAUUGUUAAGUCAGUUGUGAAAGUUUGCGGCUCAACCGGAAAAUUGCAGUUGAAACUGGCAGUCUUGAGUACAGUAGAGGUGGGCGGAAUUCGUGGUGUAGCGGUGAAAUGCUUAGAUAUCACGAAGAACUCCGAUUGCGAAGGCAGUUCACUGGACUGCAACUGACACUGAGGCGCGAAAGUGUGGGUAUCAAACAGGAUUAGAUACCCCAGUAGUC